RNAcentral lists this long non-coding RNA (236 nucleotides) under Setaria viridis. RNAcentral describes it as "long non-coding RNA (SVIR_LNC000227)". Lineage: Eukaryota; Viridiplantae; Streptophyta; Magnoliopsida; Poales; Poaceae. The record is from RNAcentral.
AGGGUGGUGCAGCCGGAGUCUCUGCCGAUACGAGCACAGGAGGAUCCGCCGAUUCUAUACGAGCUCGAACUCAGCGACUGGUCUUCUUGGUGAUCCUCUUCUGGACUUGUUUCGAUCGGCCGGCAAUCACGUCUACGGACGGAGCAUCAUAGCCGAUGAGAGGAUAAGUGGUGUAUGGAUGAUGAUGCUCUAUUAUCCGACCACUCCGGCUGUGUGUUGGGGGCGUGCGAUUCUCG